Molecule: non-coding RNA, 201 nt
Organism: Pelobates cultripes (western spadefoot toad)
Lineage: Eukaryota; Metazoa; Chordata; Amphibia; Anura; Pelobatidae
Source: the annotation of a GenBank genome assembly
CAUAAAUAGAUUAGCAUAGCCGAAAACCCUCAUAGCUUAUCUUACUUCCUUUCUGUUAUAAUUCUCCUAUAUGGAGUUUGUGGGACCAUACAGACUGCUGCACUUGAAAACGGUCCUAUAUGAACUACAUCUACCACAAACCUUUGUGCUCAUGGAGAGAGAAAAAACCCAAAACAAGACUAAAUGUCCCAUGAAUGCUUG